CCCUGUACCAAGAGUGACCAAGGUCUCUGUUUGCUAGGUCAUUGAUACAACAGGAAAAGAAAGCUGAAAGUCUCUCCUGUGUUUGGAGGAUUGCUUGUUCUUGUCAAACCCUGUAUUGUUCACACA
Small nucleolar RNA from Neoarius graeffei (lesser salmon catfish), 126 nucleotides. RefSeq annotates it as small nucleolar RNA SNORA71. Lineage: Eukaryota; Metazoa; Chordata; Actinopteri; Siluriformes; Ariidae. The record is from RefSeq and is a predicted model, not a curated record. The transcript has a single exon.